AUGGGGAGGGCUGGGUGGGCAAUGGGCGUGGGCAUAGUCUGGGAUAAACAGGGAAGGUUAAGUGCACCUAGUGCCUGGUGUCUGGGAGAUCAUGAGGAAAGGCUUCACUGUUACUCUCAGGGUCAACUUGGUGUGAUGCACGCACCAACUCAGCAGCCAAGUUUAUCUGGGGUAUGUCAAUCUCCCAAGUUACAGAAACUUCCCAGAAGUAGCAACAGGACCCAGGAGCUCACAGCUCUGGGUUUUCACUUAAUCCUUGUACAGUGUUGCCUCGACUUCUCCAAGUUUCUGGUGUUUAUGAAGACCCAUAACAGCUGGCUGCAAACUCAACUCCUGAGAAUCGUUUCUGGGAGAAUGCCGAAGACUGCAUUUCAACUCCAAGAAUGGUGUACUUUAAACAUGCUGUAUGUUUGAAAUGAUUUCUUUGGAAGAGAAGAAGAAUUGGAAACAUAGG
This 454-nucleotide long non-coding RNA is filed under the name Macaca mulatta (Rhesus monkey). RNAcentral's name for it is "lncRNA (ENSMMUG00000052804.1)". The record is from RNAcentral. Lineage: Eukaryota; Metazoa; Chordata; Mammalia; Primates; Cercopithecidae.